Molecule: ribosomal RNA, 254 nt
Filed under: uncultured bacterium
Lineage: Bacteria
Description: partial 16S ribosomal RNA
Rfam family: Bacterial small subunit ribosomal RNA
Source: RNAcentral
CACGUAGGGUGCGAGCGUUGUCCGGAAUUAUUGGGCGGAAAGAGCUCGUAGGCGGUGUGUCGCGUCGGCCGUGAAAACCUGCAGCUUAACUGUGGGCGUGCGGUCGAUACGGGCAUCACUGGAGUUCGGCAGGGGAGACUGGAAUUCCUGGUGUAGCGGUGAAAUGCGCAGAUAUCAGUCGGAACACCGGUGGCGAAGGCGGCUUCUUGGGCCGUUCCUGACGCUGAUGCGCGAAAGCUGGGGGAGCGAACGGG